CUCUCAUCGCAAGGUGUGCUCCCCGACGCAUCUCCUUUCCCUACUAAUCCUCUCCUCCUCGUUCCCCUCCUCGCAAAGGCCAACAAAAAAUUCAAGCUUUGGUCCACAAAUCACUUAUGUCCACAGGGAUCGUUUGGUGAAAAUAAGUUGGCCUCAUUUGUGAUGGAAGGGGCACAAGGAGCCUCAAAUAAUGCGGCAAAACACAAGCAAAGAAAGUUUCCUGUGCAUAGAUGGAGGCCAAUUUCGACAGAACACAAGCAAAGAAAGUUUCCUGUGCGUAUAUGGAGGCCAAUCUCGACAGAAGCAAUUUCCCAAAAAGAGGACGAUAAUGAGACAUCAAAUUCGGGAAGCAAACAAAUCAUAGAGAAUUGCAUUACUACUAGCGAGGAUUUGGCCAUAGAUGGAACAACUAAUGCUGUUAUUGAAGUAACCACCAAUGAUGCUUCAUCAUCAGAAAAUAAUGUAAGUCUUGAAUCAAGUUCAACUAAAGUAGUUAUACAAGACAAUGUGGAGGUAUCUGGCUUCAAUAAGGAUAUAGAUGGGUCUCAUGUCUCCAAAAACUAUUCCUCCUCUAUUGAGGUAGAUGUUCCUCUGAUGCACUUUGUGAAGGGAAACGGUGGGUGUAUGCAGAAGCAGAUUGAAGAUGAUACUGGAGUCAAAAUUAUCUUCCCAUCUUCAGAGGAGGAGACUUCUGUUGUCCUUGAAGGUAAAAGUGUUGAAAGUAUUAGAAAAGCGUCACAGAAGAUUGCAAAUGUUCUUGAACAGGCUGUUCAAAGUCGAAUGCUAGACUACUCUCAUUUCAUAUCACUUCCAUUGGCUAUCCACCCGGAUCUUGUCGACAAGCUGAACUACUUCCAGAGCUCGAUCCUUGGGUCUUCUGCUUCUAAUGAAGACAGUGAUAAAGAUGAGAGCCUAAGUAAAGGUUCUAUUGAUGAAAUGGAUCAUGAUCACAAGCAAGAUGAUGGCUCAAGUGUGUCAAUCAAGCUUCAAGUCCAAGAAGGAGAGUCUGUCAGAGUGAAAAUGGAUACCAAAGGCUCCCUAUCAGAUUUCGGCAUUGACAAGUCAAUAUUUAUCAAACCCAAAACAUUUCACCUAACGGUUCUUAUGUUGAAGUUGUGGAACAAGGAUCGUGUAGCUAAGGCUUCGGAUCUGCUCCAGUCAAUAUCUUCCCAAGUAAAUGAAGCUUUGGAAAACCGACCUAUCUCCAUACAACUUAGAGGUCUGACAUGCAUGAAAGGCUCGCCAGCUAGGGCUCGGGUGGUAUAUGCUCCAGUGCUGGAAGUUGGUGGAGAGAGGCGCUUAGCACGUGCUUGCAAAGUCAUAAUUGAUGCCUUUGUCAAGUCAGGCCUAGUUCUUGAAAGGGAUGCAAGACAAGAAUUGAAGUUGCACGCGACCAUAAUGAAUGUGCGGUACAGGAAGAGCAAGAAUCAGAACCAAUGGAACGAUUCAUUUGAUGCUCGGGAUAUAUUCAGAAAAUACGGGAAAGAGGAGUGGGGUGAAUAUCUCAUUCCUGAGGUUCAUCUUUCUCAGAUAUUCAAGUUUGAUGAAAGUGGGUACUACCAUUGCUGUUCGUCAAUCCCCUUGCCCGCAGAGAUGCAAACGGAGUGAGGUCUGCAAUUCGUCAUGUCUUGUGCUUGGAUGUUGUGCAUGCCAAUGGUAGUGGGCUCUCCUCCCUGUAGAGAUCAAUCUGUUGGUGUUAGUUGACAUUGUUUUUUUAUGUGGCCCACAUACAAUCAGCCGACAGUCACUCUAUGUCCCGUCAGCUAAAAAGCAGCUUUAUUUCUGCCCAAAUUCUCAGUCCACAUACUAAGGACACUGCAAUAUCUCAAGUAGAUUCGAGCUGUUGUGCAGAUAUGACGAGCCGGCCUAUCUGCAGUCUGCUAGUACUUGUGCCAAGAUAUCCGUGAUGUUCCAUGUGAGACGACAAACGUGGAGUGUGCAUUAGUGCUAGUACUUGUUACUCGUCUGCCUCCACUAUUUCUUGUUUCUUUCAAGAAACGUGUAUGCUUUUAUUAACAAUGUACAUGUUGAUUUAAGGGUCUUGAUCGGAAGCAUUAUGCUCGUUGAGAUUGACGAUC
Molecule: RNA transcript, 2078 nt
Organism: Phragmites australis (common reed)
Lineage: Eukaryota; Viridiplantae; Streptophyta; Magnoliopsida; Poales; Poaceae
Exons: 15
Source: RefSeq, a predicted model, not a curated record